Molecule: ribosomal RNA, 497 nt
Filed under: uncultured bacterium
Lineage: Bacteria
Description: partial 16S ribosomal RNA
Rfam family: Bacterial small subunit ribosomal RNA
Source: RNAcentral
GACGAACGCUGGCGGCGUGCCUAAUACAUGCAAGUAGAACGCUGAAGAGAGGAGCUUGCCCUUCUUGGAUGAGUUGCGAACGGGUGAGUAACGCGUAGGUAACCUGCCUUGUAGCGGGGGAUAACUAUUGGAAACGAUAGCUAAUACCGCAUAACAAUGGAUGACACAUGUCAUUUAUUUGAAAGGGGCAAUUGCUCCACUACAAGAUGGACCUGCGUUGUAUUAGCUAGUAGGUUAGGUAAUGGCUCACCUAGGCGACGAUACAUAGCCGACCUGAGAGGGUGAUCGGCCACACUGGGACUGAGACACGGCCCAGACUCCUACGGGAGGCAGCAGUAGGGAAUCUUCGGCAAUGGGGGCAACCCUGAGCGAGCAACGCCGCGGGAGUGAAGAAGAUUUUCGGAUCGUAAAGCUCUGUUGUAAGUCAAGAAAGGGUGUGAGAGUGGAAAGUUCACACUGUGACGGUAGCUUACCAGAAAGGGACGGCUAACUACGAG